CAACUGGGAUUGCCCUAGUAACGGCGAGUGAAGCGGCAAUAGCUCAAAUUUGAAAUCUGGCUCCUUUUAGGGGUCCGAGUUGUAAUUUGCAGAGGGUGCUUUGGCGUUGGUAGCGGUCUAAGUUCCUUGGAACAGGACAUCGCAGAGGGUGAGAAUCCCGUUUGUGGUCGCAUGCCUUCGCCGUGUAAAGCCCCUUCGACGAGUCGAGUUGUUUGGGAAUGCAGCUCUAAAUGGGAGGUAAAUUUCUUCUAAAGCUAAAUACUGGCCAGAGACCGAUAGCGCACAAGUAGAGUGAUCGAAAGAUGAAAAGCACUUUGGAAAGAGAGUCAAACAGCACGUGAAAUUGUUGAAAGGGAAGCGCUUGCAGUCAGACUUGCCCGUAGUUGCUCACCUAGGCUUUUGCCUGGGGCAUUCUUCUACGGGCAGGCCAGCAUCAGUUUGGGCGGUCGGAUAAAGGUCUCUGUCAUGUAACUUCCUUCGGGAAGAACUUAUAGGGGAGACGAAAUGCGACCAGCCCGGACUGAGGUCCGCGCUUCUGCUAGGAUGCUGGCGUAAUGGCUGUAAGCGGCCCGUCUUGAAACACGGACCAAGGAGUCUAACAUCUAUGCGAGUGUUUGGGUGUCAAGCCCGAGCGCGUAAUGAAAGUGAACGGAGGUGGGAACCCUUUGGGUGCACCAUCGACCGAUCCUGAUGUCUUCGGAUGGAUUUGAGUAAGAGCAUAGCUGUUGGGACCCGAAAGAUGGUGAACUAUGCUUGAAUAGGGUGAAGCCAGAGGAAACUCUGGUGGAGGCUCGCAGCGGUUCUGACGUGCAAAUCGAUCGUCAAAUUUGGGCAUAGGGGCGAAAGACUAAUCGAAC
Molecule: ribosomal RNA, 857 nt
Filed under: Stagonospora lomandrae
Lineage: Eukaryota; Fungi; Ascomycota; Dothideomycetes; Pleosporales; Massarinaceae
Description: eukaryotic LSU rRNA
Rfam family: Eukaryotic large subunit ribosomal RNA
Source: RNAcentral